This is a long non-coding RNA of Oncorhynchus keta (chum salmon), 1781 nucleotides long. RefSeq lists it as uncharacterized. NCBI's taxonomy places the organism in Eukaryota, Metazoa, Chordata, Actinopteri, Salmoniformes, Salmonidae. The record is from RefSeq and is a predicted model, not a curated record. The transcript is spliced from 4 exons.
AGCUACAGAGAUGGAGAGAGAGAGGAACAGAACAAACAAACAACGCGCUCAUCCACAACAUCGAUAAUCUCCCUUUUUGUUACGUGCUUUGAGCUGGUUCGUAACAAUUUUGAAGACUCCCAUCCUGAGCGACCCACAGAAGCAACCAGGGUCAACGCCCUGCUCAAGGACACAGAUCUCCCAUCAGGUCAAAAACGGGGACGGAAAAACGGAAAUCUGUGAGGUGUCCUAUCUGUGGUCACAAGCAGAAGAUUAUCCGGUAUAAGUGCAAAGAUGGAUACAUUUGGUGGCUACAUGCAUCUCUGCGUGCCUGGCAGAUAUCUCAACUUGGAUGUCAGCCCACAACCUCAAGCUCAACCUCGACAAGACGGACCUGUUCUUCCUUCCCGGGAAGGCCUGCCUGCUCAAAGACCCCUCCCAGAGUGCAAAUAACCUUGACAUGACCCUGGACAAUACCCUGUCAUUCACCGCAAACAUCAAAGCAGUGACCUGCUCCUGCAGCUUCGUGCUCUACAACAUUCUUAGAGUACGACUGUCACAUCCUGACCAUAGAAAGCCUGUAUUUUCUAUGGUAGAGUAGGUCAGAGCGUGACUAGGGGUUUUAGUCUAGUUUAUAAUUUCUAUGUGGGGUUCUAGGCUUAAUUUUAUAUGUUGGUGUUUGUGUAUGAUUCCCAAUUAGAGGCAGCUGGUAAUCAUUGUCUCUACUUGGGGAUCAUACCUAAGUUGAAAUUUUUCCACCUGUGGGUUAUGGGAUAUUGUUUAUGUGUGUGUCUGAACACUACGUAGUCACGGGUCUUUGUAAGCUUUGUUAUUUUGUUUUCAGUUCCACUUAUUCAUUAAAAGAUGUGGAACUAUACUCACGCUGCGCCUUGGUCUGCUCAUUUAGAAGAAUGUGACAAUGACCUUACCUCCUGUCUGGACUACUGCAACUCGCUGUUGACUGUGCUCCCUGCUUGUGCCUUCAAACCAUUACAUUUUAUCCAGAAUGCAGUAGCCUGCCUGGUUUUCAACCUUCCCAAGUUCUCUCAUGUCACCCCGCUCCUCCGCACACUCUCUCAUGUCACCCCGCUCCUCCGUCCACUACAAGACCAUGGUGCUUACCUAUGGAACAGCAAGAAGAACUGUCCCUCGCUACCCUCAGGCUAUUCUGAAACCCUACACGCCAACCCGAGCACUCCGUUCUGCCACCUCAGGUCUCUUGGCCAUCCCAGUCCAAGCUCUUCUCUGUUCUGGCACCCCAAUGGUGGAACCAGCUUCCCCCUGAAGCUAGGACAGCAGAGUCCCUGCCCAUCUUCCGAAAACAUCUGAAACCAUAUCUCUUCAAACAGCAUCAUGAAUAUUCCUCCUCCUCACCUUUAAAAAAAAUAAUAAUAAUAAUGUCUGGCACAUGUCCACCCCCACCCCACCCCCCUUCUAGCUCUGACUCUACUGACAGCUACGUUAUUGAGGAAAAAAUAUCUUUCUAUGUCUGUGAUAUGUGGUUGUGAUAUGUGGUUGUCUCACCUAUCUUUAGAUGAAUGCAGCAACUGUAAGUCGCUCUGGAUAAGAGAGUCUGCUAAAUGACAAAAAUGUAGUAAUGCUACAGAUAUUUCUGUAGCUAAAUCCUUUUGUUGAAUGGAGAAAACAAGGGGGGACAUUGUUGCUUACCUCAAAUCAAAUACAAUUUAUUUGGCAUAUACGCUGUACACAACAGGUGUAGACUUGAAAUGCUUACCUUGAAAUGCUUACUUACGAGCCCUUUCCAAACAAUGCAGAGUUAAAAAGCAAGACAAAUUUGGAAA